ACUGCUCAGUAACACGUGGUUAACCUGCCCUAAGGUGGAGAAUACUCCCGGGAAACUGGGGCUAAUGCUCCAUAGUGGAUAUGUCCUGGAAUGGUAUAUCCUCGAAAGAUCCGUCGCCUUAGGAUGGGACUGCGUCCGAUUAGGUUGUUGGCGGGGUAACGGCCCACCAAGCCAUUGAUCGGUACGGGUUGUGGGAGCAAGAUCCCGGAGAUGGAUUCUGAGACAUGAAUCCAGGCCCUACGGGGCGCAGCAGGCGCGCAAACUUUACAAUGCGAGCAAUCGUGAUAAGGAAACCCUGAGUGCCUGUCGAUGCAGGCUGUUCAUAUAUCUAAAUCAUAUGUGAAGAAAGGGCAGGGCAAGACCGGUGCCAGCCGCCGCGGUAAUACCGGCUGCUCGAGUGAUGGCCACUAUUACUGGGUUUAAAGCGUCCGUAGCUUGACUGUUAGGUCUCUUGGGAAAUCUUCACGCUCAACGUGAAGGCGUCUAAGAGAUACCGGCAGUCUUGGAACUGGGAGAGGUAAACCGUACUUCGGGGGUAGGAGUGAAAUCUUGUAAUCCUCGAGGGACGACCUAUGGCGAAGGCAGUUUACCAGAACAGCUUCGACAGUGAGGGACGAAAGCUGGGGGAGCAAACGGGAUUAGAUACCCCGGUAGUCCCAGCCGUAAACAAUGUGCGUUAGGUGUGUCGGUAACCACGUGUUACUGAUGCGCCGAAGAGAAAUCGUGAAACGCACCACCUGGGAAGUACGGUCGCAAGGCUGAAACUUAAAAGAAUUGGCGGGGGAGCAC
This 789-nucleotide ribosomal RNA is filed under the name uncultured archaeon Ar37. Its description in RNAcentral is "bacterial SSU rRNA". It matches the Rfam family "Archaeal small subunit ribosomal RNA", at positions 85 to 879 of the family's 1478-position model. The record is from RNAcentral. Lineage: Archaea; Methanobacteriati; Methanobacteriota; Methanomicrobia; Methanomicrobiales; Methanocorpusculaceae.